GGCCCGAUGGCAGAGUGGUGAUGCAGCGGCCUGCAAAGCCGUUAACAGCGGUUCGAUUCCGCUUCGGGCCUCCA
RNAcentral lists this transfer RNA (74 nucleotides) under Alphaproteobacteria bacterium. RNAcentral's name for it is "tRNA-Cys". It matches the Rfam family "tRNA". Rfam says of the family: Transfer RNA (tRNA) molecules are approximately 80 nucleotides in length. Their secondary structure includes four short double-helical elements and three loops (D, anti-codon, and T loops). The record is from RNAcentral. Lineage: Bacteria; Pseudomonadati; Pseudomonadota; Alphaproteobacteria. RNAcentral also lists the same sequence under 4 other names.